Molecule: ribosomal RNA, 449 nt
Filed under: uncultured bacterium
Lineage: Bacteria
Description: partial 16S ribosomal RNA
Rfam family: Bacterial small subunit ribosomal RNA
Source: RNAcentral
AACGAACGCUGGCGGCAGGCUUAACACAUGCAAGUCGAACGCAUCCUUCGGGAUGAGUGGCAGACGGGUGAGUAACGCGUGGGAAUCUACCCAUCCCUACGGGAUAGCUCCGGGAAACUGGAAUUAAUACCGUAUACGUCCUUCGGGAGAAAGAUUUAUCGGGGAUGGAUGAGCCCGCGUUGGAUUAGCUAGUUGGUGGGGUAAAGGCCUACCAAGGCGACGAUCCAUAGCUGGUCUAAGAGGAUGGUCAGCCACAUUGGGACUGAGACACGGCCCAAACUCCUACGGGAGGCAGCAGGGGGGAAUAUUGGACAAUGGGCGCAAGCCUGAUCCAGCCAUGCCGCGUGAGUGAUAAAGGCCCUAGGGUUGUAAAGCUCUUUCAGUGGGGACGAUAAUGACGGUACCCACAGAAGAAGCCCCGGCUAACUUCGUGCCAGCCGCCGCCGUAA